This 253-nucleotide ribosomal RNA is filed under the name uncultured bacterium. RNAcentral's name for it is "partial 16S ribosomal RNA". It matches the Rfam family "Bacterial small subunit ribosomal RNA", at positions 524 to 776 of the family's 1533-position model. The record is from RNAcentral.
UACAGAGGGGGCAAGCGUUAUUCGGAAUCACUGGGCUUAAAGGGCGCGUAGGCGGCUUGCCAAGUCAGUGGUGAAAUCCCGCAGCUUAACUGCGGAAGUGCCUUUGAUACUGGCGAGCUCGAGGGAGGUAGGGGUAUGUGGAACUUCUGGUGGAGCGGUGAAAUGCGUUGAUAUCAGAAGGAACGCCGGUGGCGAAAGCGACGUACUGGACCUCUUCUGACGCUGAGGCGCGAAAGCUAGGGGAGCAAACGGG